Long non-coding RNA from Mustela erminea (ermine), 288 nucleotides. RefSeq lists it as uncharacterized. The record is from RefSeq and is a predicted model, not a curated record. The transcript is spliced from 2 exons. NCBI's taxonomy places the organism in Eukaryota, Metazoa, Chordata, Mammalia, Carnivora, Mustelidae.
ACUUCCGGGCGCCCUGUGUGUCCUAUCAGCGAGGUGUGGAGGCCGUGGCGCAGGGCUGCCCCUCUGGCGGCGGCUGCAUGGGUGAACAGCCCGGCGCACUAAAUACUUUCAGGCCUGACUUCAGCUGUCGAUGUUUUUGGCCUGGAAGUCGCAGGCUGUGCGGCCUCUGACAGAGUGAGGAGGCCUGCGCAGACUUGAGAUUUCUGGCGAGGAAACUAAGGCCCUUGGACCACCAACAUCAGUGUCACUGAGGAGCUCGUUAGAAAUGCAGAAUCAUGAGCCCCACUU